Molecule: long non-coding RNA, 4604 nt
Filed under: Homo sapiens (human)
Lineage: Eukaryota; Metazoa; Chordata; Mammalia; Primates; Hominidae
Description: HSALNT0064403
Source: RNAcentral
AUGAAGCUGCCCAUCUAGUGGCCCAUCUGCCAUCAUACGGUGAAAAGUGGUCGGUGGUAGAAGAAUAUUAAGCAGUGUGAUGGAGGCAGCAAAAUGUGUGGAACCGUCAUUAUGAAGAAGGCAAUGCUCUCCUGCACCAGGGAGCUCUUCACCCCACAACUACAGAGCUCCUGUCUUCCAAGGUUCCCGAACUGUUCUGGGAAGUGCUCCUAAUCACCUGAGGUUUACAUACAAACAACCCCAGGACAUUUCAUUUAGCUACCAAUGUCAUGAUUACCAAAAAUUAAUUAACAAUAUGGUGGUCGUCAUCACAUCUGAGUCACCAAAUCAAAAUUCAGGACACAUUUCCAUGCAAAGUGCAGCCUUCUUCUUACGUUUCAUAAUUGUCAUUUCAAAUGAGAUCUUGGUUGGAAACAAUUGCUUAACUGUUUCAAGGUAUACUGGGUUAUCACUAACUCAUUUCUGUAAAGCAGAAUACAAGACCUCAACCUGUUAGAGAUCCUUUGUUGAUUAACAAGCUGAUUAAUAAGCUGAUUGUUCUCCUGAUUUAAGGCCUAUACCAAAAUUCUUGAAGCUCAAUUUGCACCACAGAGUACGCCAAUAUGUUUGAGUGAACUGGCUCUGGCUCUCCGAAGCUGUUUUGUAAAGACAAGAGACUAUAAGCCAUGGUGAGUAGUUAUACAUGAAGAACCUCAAUUAAUGCCUUACAUAUGGCAUGAGGAGACUAGAAAUUUUCUUGUUAAUGGGGCAGGGGUAUAAUAAUAAAUAUCUUGGCAAAUGAGAAGGGUCAAACUGUUUAUGGUUAAGAACACAAAUUUUGAGCCAAAAUACAUGGAUUUGAAUCCCUGCUAUACCCCAUUAUUAGCUAUGUGACUUCAGGCAAGUUAUUUAAGGUUGCUGUGCCACAUUUCCAUCCACCUGUAAAAUGGGGAUAAUAUUUAUAGAAGUUAAAAACUAGCUAGCACUUGUUAAAGUGUUAUCUAACACAUUUAUGAAGAAAUCAGCAGAAAGAUAAAGUAGCUGGAAAGGAAGAUUUAAGUCGAAUUGCAAAUUGCAUGUAGUGUUCACUAGGUUAACUUUCAACAGAGCUAUAAAACCAUAUCACCUUUAGAGUUAAUAUAUCUCCAUGGCUAUCAAAUUAUAAAAACUCUUUAAUUUCUGCACGUCAAUCUCUUGACCUCAAAGGACCAUAAACCAUCCACACACUUUUCAGUUGUUGAUUGUUAGCCAAGCAAAGUUACAUUCUCAGCAUGUGUCAGAUGAUGCUCAAAUGGGCUUAUUGGAAAAUGACCUAGCAUGACAUUUUAAAAAUCAAGCAAUAAUCAUUUAUCUCAUCUCUAAAUUUAGGAUAAAUAUUUUUAGUAGCCUUGCCAUGAUUUUCAUGCCAAUUUAUAUUUGUAAAGCACUUUGAAAAGUGUCUGGCACAAGGUUAAGUAAAAUACUCAGUAAUUAGGCAGUAGUAAAAAGAUAUGGCCUAUAGAAUCUGUACUAUUUUAAAAGAGCUUACGUCAUUUGUCUGAAAUAAUUUUUAAGGAUGCCACAGGAAUGGUUUGGUUGUAGACCCCACUCCAUAAAUCAAGUUUCCCUGAGGGAAAAAAUUAAGCAACAGAAUAGAAGACAGAAAUAGAGAAAAGAACUACUCAAAACGAAUUUGAAUGCCGUAAUAGGAUAAUCAUUUAUAUUUGGAGACAAAAAUGCUAAGAGUUAUAUUAGAAUAUUCCAGAGAGACAGAACCAGUAGGAUAGAUGAUAGAGAGAUAGACAGAUAGAUAGAUAGAUAGAUAGAUAGAUAGAUAGAUAGAUAGAUAGACAGACAGACAGACAGAUAGAUGAUGCAUAGAUAGAUAAAUGAUAGAUGACGGAUGGAUGGGUAGGUAGAUAGACAGACAGACAGAUGAGAGGGGAUUUAUCUGGGGAGUUGACUCAUGUGAUUGAUUAUGGAGGCUGAGAACCCCACAAUAGGACAUCUGUAAGCUGGAGACUUGGGAUGCUGGUUGCAUGGCUCAGUCUAAGUUCAAAAGCAUCAGAACCAGGGAAGCCAAUGACAUAACUCUCAAUCUGAGGCUAAAGGCCCAAAAACCCAAGGAGAUACUGGUAUAAGUAUCAGAGUCCAAAAGCCAGAGAACCUUGUGUGCUGAUGUCCAAGAACAGGAGAGGAAGGGUGCUGUAGCUCCAGGAGAGAGAGAGUAAAUUUUCUUAGGUGGUGCAAAAGUAAUUGUGGUUCUUGCCAUUGAAAUUAAUAGCAAAAACUGCAAUUACUUUUGCACCAACCUAAUGCUUUCCUCUUGCUUUUUGUUCUAUCCAGGUUCCCAGUCAAUUGUCCACCUACACUGAGGUCAGAUCUUCCCCAUUCAGUCUACCGACUCACACAUCAAUCUUCUCUGGAAAACAUCCUCACAGAAACAUCCAGAAACAAUACUUUACCAGUUGUCUAGGUAUACCUUAAUCCAGUCAAGCUGACAUCUCAAAUUAGCCACCACAAAUACAUUUUUUUUCCAAAAUAUCUAGGCACUACUAGAUAAGCAUAUUUUUAAAAUGUUUUCUUCCCACUGUGUAAACUUAGAAAAUAAUAGAGAGAUUUACAAAGCUAUGCUAUAUUCACGAUCCAUUAAAAUAAUAUAUAUUUUAUGAGAGAGACUUUUGCUGCUACCAACAUUCCAAAACCCUCUUUACCUCAAACAAUGUUAAAGAUGGUAUUUGUUUAAUAUUGGAAAAGGAUUAUGCCACAACCACUUAAUCAAAAUCUUGUUUAGUGUCAGUAUCUAUUCAAUUUUGCAUGUCCCAGCUUGAUGGAAACUAACUACCUCACAGCACUCCAUAAAUAUUUAUAUCGUAAUCCAUUAUUGAUAUCUUACAAACAUUUUACUAUAGCUUGCUAAUGGCUGCAACAUGACAGUUCUGGAUGGAACUGAACAAUUAUUUUAAUUUUAUUUCCAUAGGAGAUGCUUUGCACAUGUAAAAACAAAAAUGCCAGUUUAAUUGGGGUACUUACUACCAACACAAAACAAAAGCAUAGUAUCUAAAAUCAAGUCCUGAAAAUGAAUGAAAAAAUGUUUUCAAGAAUUUUUUAACACGAAAAUUACAAUUCCCUAUUAUGUUAAAAUCUCUCACACUUGUAUUACAACCUAUCAUACUCAGAUAAUUUAUUUAAAUCUCAAAGUAUCACUAUAAUAUAGGAAAUAUUUCAAUGUUCCCACUUUCCAAAUGAAGAAAAUGAGCAGUACAGAAAACUUUAAUGACUUACGCAAAGGCACACAGCUAUCUGGGACUAAAAUAAGAGCUUUUGCCUCUUAUGCUCAUGACACCAAUAACUUAGCCUCUUGCCACAAGUGUAUCCUCCUUUAUAUAUAUUUCUUACCUUACACAUAUGCUAAAAGCUUCACCUGUAUGACAUAUAUAAAAUUAUUCUUGUACACCUCCUAAAUGAAGGUAUACAAGCCAUCCUAAUAUGUACCUAGUGUGUGAGUUUAUUUCAGUCUUUACUCAUCUGUUUUCUGUUUUAGACUGUCAGUUCACUGAACCAGAGUUAGUAUUUUUGAAAAGCAGGAUAGGUAGUUUUCAGCAUCAGAUGGAUAAAGAUGAGGUCAAGUCAAAAAGAGCAGCAUGUGUGCAGAACGUGAGAGCAACAGAGGAAACAGACCUGUAGGUGUUCAGAUUCUAAAUCUGCCAUUUACUCGUCGUGUGAUAGUCAAUAACUUAUUUUCCUGAAGCAUCAGUAUUAAAUGAGGUAAUGUAAUAUAAGUGCUUAGCACAAGCAUAACACAGAGUAAAUUUUCAGUUAAUUAAAUGAUAAUUGAUGCUUUUACACACAAAAAAAACCACUUAUUGUAUUUAGAGUUUAUAACAAAGAGAGCUAUUUAUUAUCUGUUCAAGGAAAGAAGAUUUAUGUAUUAUUAUUCCUAUUAAAGAUUAUACCAUCUCAUGUAUUGUGAAAGCUGACCAGUAGUGGUGAAAAGUCUUCCCAUAUGUAUAAUCCUUUAUAAAACAUAUUUAUUUCCAUUUUUCAUUUGAGCCACUGAAAAGUUCUGUGAAUUUAGUUUAUUUUUUAUCAUCAUCAUCAUCAUCAUUUCCAUACUUAAAUUGAGCAGACUGAGUUUAGAAGAGGUAAAGUAAUAGGCUCAAAUUCUUUCACCCAAUCUCUACACCAAAUCAGUUGCCAGCAUGUUUCUCAUUUUCUGAAUUUUUGAUAGUGCUGGAUGUAAAACCUGACAUGAGUUGUAUAGCAACAAAUAACCACAAUAAAAUCAUCAGCCAGGUUUCUUUUAAGCUCCCACAAUCCCAUCAUGUUCAUUAAUUUUUAACAUAAUUCACUUUAAACAGAAUUUUCUAAUGGGUAAGAAAGAGUUAGGAGGGUAUUCACCAAGACAUCUUUUGUCAGCCUAUGGCAAACCAGUUUAAUUUAUUCUUUGGUCAACCUCAGUGCCACGUUUUCAGUUAUUUUUUAAGACUACCACAACGGACUUGUAGACAUGUGUUUGAAAAAAUGUGAUUCUCAAUUCACAAUAGCAUAAUGAAGAGGUAAUAGUACUGAAAAGAAAUCAGAAGCAUUCCCUUUAGCCAGUUAUCAAGAUGCAAUAUAGAAAUAUGAUUAUGGGCCGGGCGCGG